ACAGUCACACGUAGUUGAUCCUGGCUCAGAACGACGCUGGCGGCAGGCCUAACACAUGCAAGUCGAGCGCCCCGCAAGGGGAGCGGCAGACGGGUGAGUAACGCGUGGGAAUCUACCCAUCCCUACGGAACAACUCCGGGAAACUGGAGCUAAUACCGUAUACGCCCUUCGGGGGAAAGAUUUAUCGGGGAUGGAUGAGCCCGCGUUGGAUUAGCUAGUUGGUGGGGUAAUGGCCUACCAAGGCGACGAUCCAUAGCUGGUCUGAGAGGAUGAUCAGCCACACUGGGACUGAGACACGGCCCAGACUCCUACGGGAGGCAGCAGUGGGGAAUAUUGGACAAUGGGCGAAAGCCUGAUCCAGCCAUGCCGCGUGAGUGAUGAAGGCCCUAGGGUUGUAAAGCUCUUUCAACGGUGAAGAUAAUGACGGUAACCGUAGAAGAAGCCCCGGCUAACUUCGUG
RNAcentral lists this ribosomal RNA (459 nucleotides) under uncultured bacterium. RNAcentral describes it as "bacterial SSU rRNA". It matches the Rfam family "Bacterial small subunit ribosomal RNA", at positions 1 to 507 of the family's 1533-position model. The record is from RNAcentral.